CCUACGGGAGGCAGCAGUGAGGAAUAUUGGUCAAUGGGCGCGAGCCUGAACCAGCCAAGUAGCGUGAAGGAUGACUGCCCUACGGGUUGUAAACUUCUUUUAUAAAGGAAUAAAGUGAGGCACGUGUGCCUUGGUGGAUGUACGGGAGGAAUAAGGAUCGGCUAACUCCGUGCCAGCAGCCGCGGUAAUACGGAGGAGCCGAGCGUUAUCCGGAUUGAUUGGGUUUAAAGGGAGCGUAGAUGGGUUGUUAAGUCAGUGGUGAAAGUUUGCGGCUCAACCGUAAAAUUGCAAUUGAUACUGGCAGUCUUGCGUACAGUUGCGGUAGGCGGAAUUCGUGUUGUAGCGG
RNAcentral lists this ribosomal RNA (346 nucleotides) under uncultured bacterium. Its description in RNAcentral is "partial 16S ribosomal RNA". It matches the Rfam family "Bacterial small subunit ribosomal RNA", at positions 338 to 681 of the family's 1533-position model. The record is from RNAcentral.